GAUGAACGCUGGCGGCGUGCCUAAUACAUGCAAGUCGAGCGAACAGACGAGGAGCUUGCUCCUCUGACGUUAGCGGCGGACGGGUGAGUAACACGUGGAUAACCUACCUAUAAGACUGGGAUAACUUCGGGAAACCGGAGCUAAUACCGGAUAAUAUAUUGAACCGCAUGGUUCAAUAGUGAAAGACGGUUUUGCUGUCACUUAUAGAUGGAUCCGCGCCGCAUUAGCUAGUUGGUAAGGUAACGGCUUACCAAGGCGACGAUGCGUAGCCGACCUGAGAGGGUGAACGGCCACAAGGGGACUGAGACACGGCCCUUACUCCUACGGGAGGCAGCAGUGGGGAAUAUUGGACAAUGGACCAAGAGUCUGAUCCAGCAAUUCUGUGUGCACGAUGAAGUUUUUCGGAAUGUAAAGUGCUUUCAGUUGGGAAGAAAAAAAUGACGGUACCAACAGAAGAAGUGACGGCUAAAUACGUG
RNAcentral lists this ribosomal RNA (476 nucleotides) under uncultured bacterium. Its description in RNAcentral is "partial 16S ribosomal RNA". It matches the Rfam family "Bacterial small subunit ribosomal RNA", at positions 28 to 507 of the family's 1533-position model. The record is from RNAcentral.